AUUGAACGCUGGCGGAAUGCUUUACACAUGCAAGUCGAACGGCAGCACGGGGGCAACCCUGGUGGCGAGUGGCGAACGGGUGAGUAAUGUAUCGGAACGUACCCAGUCGUGGGGGAUAACUAUCCGAAAGGAUAGCUAAUACCGCAUACGUCCUGAGGGAGAAAGCGGGGGACCUGCAAGGGCCUCGCGCGAUUGGAGCGGCCGAUAUCGGAUUAGCUAGUUGGUGAGGUAAAGGCUCACCAAGGCGACGAUCCGUAGCGGGUCUGAGAGGACGACCCGCCACACUGGAACUGAGACACGGUCCAGACUCCUACGGGAGGCAGCAGUGGGGAAUUUUGGACAAUGGGGGAAACCCUGAUCCAGCCAUUCCGCGUGAGUGAAGAAGGCCUUCGGGUUGUAAAGCUCUUUCAGCAGGAACGAAACGGUCGGCUUUAAUAAAGUCGGCUAAUGACGGUACCUGCAGAAGAAGCACCGGCUAACUACGUG
Molecule: ribosomal RNA, 486 nt
Filed under: uncultured organism
Description: bacterial SSU rRNA
Rfam family: Bacterial small subunit ribosomal RNA
Source: RNAcentral